CAGCUUGAUGAUGAUGAUCUUGUAUCUUAUAUUCUUACUGGACUUUAUGCUGAAUAUAACCCGCUCAUUGAGGCGGUAAGUGCAAGGAUUGAUCCUAUCAGUUUAAGUGAUCUUUAUGCUCAACUUCUAUUUGCUGAGG
Molecule: small nucleolar RNA, 139 nt
Organism: Phragmites australis (common reed)
Lineage: Eukaryota; Viridiplantae; Streptophyta; Magnoliopsida; Poales; Poaceae
Product: small nucleolar RNA Z247
Exons: 1
Source: RefSeq, a predicted model, not a curated record